GACGUCGCUUUUGAUCUUUCGAUUUCGGCUCUCCUAUCAUGUGAAAGCAGAAUUCACAAGCGUUGGAUUGUUCAACCCGAUAAUAGGGAACGUGAGCUGGGUUUAGACCGUCGUGAGACAGGUUAGUUUUACCGUACUGAUGAAUGUGUUGUUGCCAUGGUAAUCCUGCUCAGUACGAGAGGAACCGCAGGUUCAGACAUUUGGUGUAUGUGCUUGGCUGAGGAGCCAAUGGGGCGAAGCUACCAUCUGUGGGAUUAUGACUGAACGCCUCUAAGUCAGAAUCCCGCCCAGGCGGAACGAUACGGCAGCGCCGAAGGAGCCUCGGUUGGCCUCGGAUAGCCGGUCCCCCGCUCGUCCCCGCCGGCCCGGCCCGGGGCCCGGCCCUCGCGUCCGCGCGGGGUCGUCGCCCCACCACCGCGCGUCGGGACCGGGGUCCGGUGCGGAGAGCCUCUCGUCCCGGGAAACGGGGUGCGGCCGGAAAGGGCGCCGCCCCCACGCCCGUCGCGCAACGCACGUUCGUGUGGAACCUGGCGCUAAACCAUUCGUAGACGACCUGCUUCUGGGUCGGGGUUUCGUACGUAGCAGAGCAGCUCCCUCGCUGCGAUCUAUUGAAAGUCAGCCCUCGACACAAGGGUUUGU
Molecule: non-coding RNA, 639 nt
Filed under: Dipodomys ordii (Ord's kangaroo rat)
Lineage: Eukaryota; Metazoa; Chordata; Mammalia; Rodentia; Heteromyidae
Description: Eukaryotic large subunit ribosomal RNA
Rfam family: Eukaryotic large subunit ribosomal RNA
Source: Rfam by way of RNAcentral